GGAAUUGCUAGUAAUCGUAGGUCAGCAUACUACGGUGAAUACGUUCCCGGGCCUUGUACACACCGCCCGUCAAACCAUGAGAGUUGGCAACACCCGAAGUCGGUAGUCUAACCGCAAGGAGGACGCCGCCGAAGGUGGGGUUGAUGAUUAGGGUUAAGUCGUAACAAGGUAAC
RNAcentral lists this ribosomal RNA (173 nucleotides) under uncultured bacterium. Its description in RNAcentral is "partial 16S ribosomal RNA". It matches the Rfam family "Bacterial small subunit ribosomal RNA", at positions 1328 to 1500 of the family's 1533-position model. The record is from RNAcentral.